UGAACACUUCACUCUGAUGUUAGAUUAACUAUUGCUACCAAAUUUCAUAUGGUAACCCACAUGCUUUGUGAAAGACACCUUUAUAUAAAUUUGUUAUACACAAACUUCCCAUAAAGAUCUAGAGGUUCCCAACCUCAACAACCCUCACAACCCAAUGAAUUACAUUGCAUAAAGCUAGGAAACUAGGCAACAGGGAUAGCAACCCAAAAUGACCAAAGAAGGUGCCAGCAGUCGCGGUUAAACCUCAAUUCACAGCUAAUCUAUAACCAUAAUCCAAAGUACCUACAAAUUCUGAUUACUAACAUACAAGGAUAAAGGUAAAAUUUAAACCAGCAAGCAUAUCCUAAUAAAUCUUAAAGGUAGCUUUAACAAACCACAACUACAAAACACGGAUUAGAUACCCAUCUAUUGAGUGGCCCAACAAACCAAACUCUAAAAACGAAAGUUUCAAAAUUAAAUAGUGUGGCGGUGUUCUACACCUUAUCAGGGGAUCCUGUAGCUUAAUUCGAUAACCCACGAACACCCUAGCCCUGUUAGUACACAGCUUAUGUAUGGCCGUUUUAAGUCUGCAUAUCAAUAACAAAAAAGGAGGCAACCAAAAAAUCUUAAUAACACAGGUGACAUAUAGCCAAUACAGAGCAGCUUAUGGGAUACAAAUGAUCAAACCAUCAGAAAAAGGAUUAACAACCUUUCAAAAGGAGGACUUGAAAGUAAGGCCAUCAACAUUAUUGUAGCCUGAACAAGAACUAGAAUGCGCACAAAUCGCCCGUCACUCCCGGCGACGCUAAGCGGGGAUAAGUCGUAACACAGUAGGAGUAGCGGAAGCUGCCCCUAUACA
This 838-nucleotide ribosomal RNA is filed under the name Pilsbryoconcha exilis. RNAcentral describes it as "12S ribosomal RNA". The record is from RNAcentral. Lineage: Eukaryota; Metazoa; Mollusca; Bivalvia; Unionida; Unionidae.